This 402-nucleotide ribosomal RNA is filed under the name uncultured bacterium. RNAcentral's name for it is "bacterial SSU rRNA". It matches the Rfam family "Bacterial small subunit ribosomal RNA", at positions 355 to 774 of the family's 1533-position model. The record is from RNAcentral.
UGGGGAAUAUUGCACAAUGGGCGAAAGCCUGAUGCAGCAACGCCGCGUGAGUGAUGAAGGCCUUCGGGUUGUAAAGCUCUGUCUUCUGGGACGAUAAUGACGGUACCAGAGGAGGAAGCCACGGCUAACUACGUGCCAGCAGCCGCGGUAAUACGUAGGUGGCAAGCGUUGUCCGGAUUUACUGGGCGUAAAGGAUGCGUAGGCGGAUACUUAAGUCAGAUGUGAAAAUCCCGGGAUUAACUUGGGAACUGCAUUUGAAACUGGGUAUCUAGAGUGCGGGAGAGGAAAGUGGAAUUCCUAGUGUAGCGGUGAAAUGCGUAGAGAUUAGGAAGAACACCAGUGGCGAAGGCGACUUUCUGGACCGUAACUGACGCUGAGGCAUGAAAGCGUGGGGAGCAAACA